AGCAGCCGCGGUAAUUCCAGCUCCAAUAGCGUAUAUUAAAGUUGUUGCAGUUAAAAAGCUCGUAGUUGAAUUUCGGGAUUAAUAUGUUGGUCGUGCCUUGGUACGUACUGGCAUUAUUGAUUCCUACCUUCUGAAGAACCUCGAUGUCAUUAAUUUGGUGUCUUGGGGAAUCAGGACCGUUACUUUGAAAAAAUUAGAGUGUUUAAAGCAGGCUCGCGCUUGAAUACAUUAGCAUGGAAUAAUGAAAUAGGACGUUUGAUUCUAUUUUGUUGGUUUCUAGGAUCGACGUAAUGAUUAAUAGGGAUAGUUGGGGGCAUUAGUAUUCAAUUGUCAGAGGUGAAAUUCUUGGAUUUAUUGAAGACUGACUACUGCGAAAGCAUUUGCCAAGGAUGUUUUCAUUAAUCAAGAACGAAAGUUAGGGGAUCGAAGACGAUCAGAUACCGUCGUAGUCUUAACCAUAAACUAUGCCGACUAGGGAUCGGAUGAUGUUAAUUUUUAAUGACCCAUUCGGCGCCUUACG
Molecule: ribosomal RNA, 520 nt
Filed under: uncultured Glomus
Lineage: Eukaryota; Fungi; Glomeromycota; Glomeromycetes; Glomerales; Glomeraceae
Description: SSU rRNA
Rfam family: Eukaryotic small subunit ribosomal RNA
Source: RNAcentral